Molecule: small RNA, 541 nt
Filed under: Pan troglodytes (chimpanzee)
Lineage: Eukaryota; Metazoa; Chordata; Mammalia; Primates; Hominidae
Description: processed transcript
Source: RNAcentral
GAAGCCAUGUCUAUUCUCCAGCUUCACCGGAGUCCUAGUCCCGUCUCUCUCUAAUGGGGCGGUGGGCAUCUCUUGAAUGCCCUUCUCUUGCAUUGUGGUUAGCACUCUUCCUUUCUCCCUGCCAGAUUCCCCACCAUCAGGAAGGAUCAUCUCAUUUUCCCUGAGAUCCUGGUGGAAAACUUCAGGAACCUGGGUUACUUCAUGUCCUUCCUUCCCUACCUCUAAUCGGUCACCAGUGUCGAUUCUUCAGCACCCUUCUCACUUCCAGGCCUUUGCCCUAUUCUUGCCAUUCGCCUAGUCCCAAAGCUCACCAUCCCACAGCAAGAUAAUGCCCCAGCCUCGCUGACAGGACCAGGAGAUAUGUGUCCUGUGGCAACAUCUACAAAGGCCUUGCUCAGACUGGUGCCUGGGGCUGCUUUGAUGAGUUUAAUCGAAUCUCCGUGGAGGUCUUGUCAGUGGUGGCAGUGCAGGUAGGGGCCAGAAGUUGGUGGGAGCCUUGUGGUCUUCAUAUUGAUUACUGCGGAAGUCUAUGUCCUCUUGU